AAAGCAUGAAUUGAAGAGGAAAGAAAAGAACACAAACCCUUGGUGGGAAAAUUGAAGAAAAAGUGUGGGAUUUCAAGGGAUUAAUCUAAUAAAGGUAAAAUUUUAUGAUUUUCUCUUGUGAUUUACACUACCAGUGCUUUCUUUUUUGUUUUCCAUGCUUAGAACUCAAGUUUGCAUGAUGAACCCAUGCUGGCCAAAUUUGAGAGGAGAGGUUUUAAGCAUUGAUUUGGCUAGAUUUCAAGCUAAUUAAGUAUUUUUGGUUGUUUGGUAAUGGAAAGUAUGAAAAUCUAGCAAGGAAUAACUUUGUUCUUCACAAACCCAUAAGAGACCAAAUUUUCUAGGGAGGAUAUUGAGGCUAAAAUUGAUGAUAUUUCAUGAUAUAUUGGCGAUAUUUAAUGAUGGAUGAGGCUAGAAAUUUAAUGAGAAAUUUUGGCAUGAAAAUCUAAAUUUUUACCUAAUAUAUAGACAUGUGCGAUUUAUGGUCCGGAUUGAUAAAUUGAAUCAUAUUCAUAGUCAUUGAGGUAUUUUAACUAUAAUUGGAGUGUAGAAAGUGAAAGAAAUCAAUUUGGAGUUAAAUUGGAGGUUUUAGCCAAUUACACCGAGAAUAGUGCGAAUUAGGUCGAAUACCGUAUUUAAACGGCUAUUCGGACAUUUUGCAUCACAUUUCAUGCAUUCAUAUAGAUUUAUAGAGCUUGAAAUAGUUUAUGAUAAAUUAACAGGAUUUAUUGAAAUUUGUGUCACAUAUGAUGUAUAGGUUGUGAGCCCUCUAACAAGGGUAAAGAGAUUGUGCUCGAAGACUGGGAAUAGGAGUAUAUCGAACUCCUAGUAUUGUGAGUAACCUUACUAUCGUCUUAAUUAUCUAAAGUGGUUUUUAUGUGAUUUUGUGAAUUUCAUGGAAAAUGAAUUAAAUGAUUAAUUUUUCGAUUUGAUAAGCCAAAUGUGAUUUAAUGAAAUGAUUUCAUAAAAUUGUUUUAAAAUUGAAUAAUGGCUUUGAAAAUAGAGUAAUUGGAGACCAUUUGAUGUAUUGUGAAUUUAUGGUUCUAAUUGAUUAGCUUAUGACAAUAUUGGUAUGAAUGGCUGAAUUGGUAUUUGUGUUGAAAUAUAUAUGAACUGUGUAAUUAGCCUUGAAAGGCUGUGAAUUACAAUAAUUGCCAUGUCAUGCUGUUAAAUUUUAUUGAUGGGUGGGAUAAUUGUUAGCUAACUGCAGUGAGCGGGUUCUGUGGACCAACCUACUAGAGGGGCACGGUAACCCCGUUAUAUUAUUACCUCAGUAUGAGAGGCGCGGGUGGAUAACUCCUGAGGUUAACACUUUUAGAGUUCACUUCACGUCAAACCACCACAUGAGGGGGAACUCAGUCAACGCCAAGGAACGGCUAUGUUUUCAAAAUAAAAACAUAAUUUAUGCGUACAUGACUUUUUAACAGCCUUGGCGGACUCGGUUGAGAUAGCCCUCAAUCAAGGUAUCCCUGAUAAUUUGGUAUGAGAAUAAAUUUUGGCACGAGCCAAAGUUUUAAGAAAUUCAUAAGCCAUGUUGAUUACUUGAUUUAUAAGAAUUGAUUUUAUUUGGUUGAAACAAGUUGAAAGGUGAUGAAUUUCAGUAUGUUAAAUGUUUUAUCUUUCUCCAUUUACUCAACUUUAAAUGGUUUAGAUGGUAUCUAUUUACUCACUGGAACUUUAUAAUCUCAUCACCCUCUUUUUCAACCAUUUCAAGCCCGAGGUAGCCUGCGGAUAGUAGAUAUCGUCAAGGAUUAUAGUCGACUUUACUACUCCAAAAACUGUAAGUUUACUACCUUUGUGCACUUUUGUUCAUUGUGGGCCCAUGAGUCACUGUAAUGUAAAUUUUAUAUCUCAAUUCUCUGUAUUAUAGUAUGUAUGAAUUUAUUUAGCUUUUACAUUACAAAAAUUAUUUACCGAUGACUCUAUAAAUAUUGUUUUAUAAGAAAUUAGAAUAUUUUAUUCAAAUAGUUGGAAUAUCAUUUUUAAUAAAUGUUUUAGACACCCAAAUUUAUUUUAAAUCAUGAAAUAUGUGUUUUCGACUAAUCUACUACAUCUUUAGUCAGGUUCGAAAAAUUUCGAGGAAAAAUGAUGAAAACGCCCCUGUGAGGUGAAAAUUAUUUUUCCACGAUUUUGAAAGGGAAAAAUCUUAAAAUUCUUUAAAAAUGAGGCUUGGCGAUGAUUACUCAUAGGGGAGAUGAAAAAAAUGGUACUAAAGCCUUGCGGGGUUCCGGUUGGCACUCCGGGUAACGAAUGUCUACCGGGGUGUCGCGAUGAUUGUCACUGGUUCGAGCGGAGUACCAGGUCAUGGCAAUUUUCAACGGAUAUAAACUGCCAAACUGCCAUCAGAGUUGAAAUAUUGUUAAGAGCCAAAUUGUGCUAUUCACCCCACCUCUAACACAUAUUAUAGGGACCAACAGCCACAGGUUGGCAAAUGGUAAUAUUAUUUUGUGAACGCUAUAUGUUCAGUUGCCAUGAUUUAUUCUUGAAAAUAAAUUAUUUUGAUCAUUAUGAAUUAAGAACCUUAGAGGUAAAUGAAGGACAGAUGGUCUAAUGAGCAAGUUUUCAUAGAAAGGCUUGAUUGGGCUUGAUGGGCUAUGCCUAUUGGGUCCAUGCGUUGGUCAUGGCCCGAGAUUGGGUUGUGACAUUCCUCCACUUGGGAUUGUAGGUGUUGAAAUAUGGGUUAUUCUGCUGUAUAUUCCCUACAAAUUCAACUGUCUUUGUAUUGCUUGGACACUAACUAUGCCAACCUCUUUUGCACUUUUCAUCCACAAAAUAAAGAUUAAGGCUUAUUCCAUUAACCAUGAAUGUGCUAGUAUCCUUACUAUCAAUCUCUAUUUUACCACAAGGAUAAACCUUUACCACAUUAAAAGGACCUAACCAUCUUACCUUGCAUUUCAUGAAAAAAGUUUCAAGCUUGAAUUAGAAAGUAACACUUACUAUCGAACCUCAAAAUCAAGACAAUUGAGAGGUGGUGGAAAAUGCUCCUUAUGCAACUACUUGGUUAUGAAAUAUGGAAGACAUAGCUUUAACUCAAAGAUUGGUGCUUCCUCACUUGUAAGUGAAGAAAUAAGCUUACCUUUGCCCUCAUCACCUAAAUCAACUCUAUAGCAACUAUCUGUAGAGGCAAGAUGCUUACUUGCAUUGGAAAUAUAAAACUUGACUAUCUCCUCUCCAACUUUAAAAGUUAUCUCGUCUUCCUUAAUGUUAAUGAUUGUGCCUACAGUAAGUAAGAAUUGUUGUCCCAAGAUUAAAGGAAUUCCACAUCCUUUUAUAUUUCAAGCACAAUGAAGUCCAUCGAAAUGUAGAGAUCCUCAACUUUAACCGACACAUCCUCUAUAAUCUCAAUAGGGUACUGAUUGUUUUGUAUGCUACCUAUAAGGUAACUAUAGUGGGCUGAAUCUCAUUAAGUUCAAGUUUCCUAGUAAUAGACAUAGGCAUAGUUGAAACACCAACACCCAAAUCACACAAAGCGUAAGAAAAUUUAACACUACCAAUAGUACAAAGGAGAGAAAAACUCCUUAGAUCCUUAAGCUUUGGUGUAAGUUUAUUCUGCAUUAUGGAACUGCAUUCUGCAGUAAAUGCAACUGUCUCAAAAUCUUCUAAUUUCCUCUUUCUAGUCAGAAUGUCUCUUAAGAACUUCACAUAAGUAGGCAUUUGUUCUAAUGCUCCUAUAAAAGGAAUGUUAAUGUGGAGCUUCUUAAAUAGCUCUAAAAAAUUAUGGAAUUAACUAUCAAGCUUCUAUCAUUACAAAAGUUGAGGGAAAGGUAGUGGUGGUCGUGAUGGAUUUGAUUGGGUUCUCUCACCUUAAGCUUGUUCCUCAGAAUUUUCAACCAUUGUUUCUUUUUCAACAUGCUUACCCAGAAAUUCUGAUUGGAUACUACUACCUUUUAACUCUUUCCUAUUUUUAAGUAUAAUUGCAUUGUAAUGCUUUUUAUCUUUUCUUCUAGGAUUGGCUUUAGUAUCAUUAGGUAAAGUCCCCUAAGGCAUAUUCUUGAUGGCAUUGGCAAGCUGAUCCACUUGUGUUUCAAGAUUUCUGUUAAACUUAAUGCUUCAUUUGAGUCUAAUUUUUGAUUCGACAAAAAAGUGAUCAAAAUUGAUUUUUAUAUGUCUAAAUAAGCCCAAAUUGUCCUUUAAACGGGUUUAAUAAAAGAGCUAAGCACUUUAAAUAGAAAACAAGCAAAAAGUCUCUUCAAAUUUGAAAAAGCUAUCAAUUAAUUGAUAAUGUUCUUCAUUUAUAGAUAGAUAAGUUCAUCUAUCAAUGGAUGAAGAAAAUCUAUCAAUAGUUGAUUGUUUUAGCAGUUGGACUUCAAAGACUAUGAACAUUUAUUGAUAGAUAACCAAUCGAGAAUAAUAUAAAAAGACCGUGACUUGAAUCUAUCAAUAGAUAAGGACACGAGCACAUUUCAAAAAGACCCUGACUUGCAAUUAUCGAUAGAUAUGCCACAUUUAUUGGUAGAUAGCCCCCAAAGACAUUUCAAAAUGAUCUUGAGUUGAAUUUAUCGAUAGAUACUUCUAUUUAUCAAUAGAUAGGUGCAAAUUUAAAGAUUAUUUAAGGUAAUCUAUUGAUAGAUCAAGAAAUCUAUCAAUAGAUGAUGACAGUUGAAGCUAAAAUAAGGUCUUGAAUGGUUAUUUUCACAUUUAAUGCACUCUUAACUACCUCUAAAGCUUUAGCAACUAUAAAUUCAAGCUCCCACAACAUUUAUGAAGGUUGGAAGACUAUAAAAUACAACUCCAAAAUAAAGAAUUCAACAAAAAUCAUUCAAUAGUUUUUGUACUCUUCGUCUAGCAUUUAAGUCUUCUAUUAUAGCAUUUAUUGAGCCUUCAUUGCUUGUUCUUUUCUUGAACAAACAUUGUACUUAACUUGUUAUUCAACCUUUAAGAGGCAUUCUAGCUACUCUUACAUUCCUCUUAAUAUGUUUACUUAAGUGGUUAUUUCUUAACCAAGAUAAAAGGUAGAGUGGUUGUGCUUUAACCAUAAAAAGGCAUUAUAUCGAAAGGUUGUGCUUCAUCCACAAAAAGAAUUGUAUUGAAUUCUAUUUCAAUAGUGGAUUUUUAACUCCUUAGUGAAUCUAAGGGAAAAGACGUAAGCAAUGAGGCCAAACCUUUAUAAAAAUUAGUGUGUUGAUUUUUCCUUCUUUUUACUCUUUUAAUUUCACUUGUGUUUCCAACCUCUUUCUCUUUACAAGAAAUCAGUUGUCUUACUUAUUUUCAAAUUGGAAAUUAGCUUAAGAGAAUCAUAUUUUCUCAAAAUUGAAAAGGAAUUUUAAAAUUUUAAAAACAUUCUAAUUCACUACCUCUCAAAGUUAUUCACAUUAAGCUUGUUGAACUAACAAUCAGUAUCAAAACAAGGGCUCAAUUUUACAAGUCUAACAACCUUGAGUGAUCCACAAGCAAAGGUCAACACUUCAAGAUGGAAUCCACCUCAACUAUUCUUGGUGAAGGACACUCAACUCAGAGACCUACAUUCUUCUCAAGUGCAAAUUACCCUUAUUGAAAGAACAAAAUAAAGAUGUUUAUUUAAUCAAUAGAUCUUGAUGAGUGGAAUGUUAUCUUAGAUGGUCUUUAUGUCCCCACUAAGGAAGUAGAUGGAAAAAAAUAGUAAAAACUAAGACAGAGUGGGAUGACAAAGAAAAGAAGUUGAUGCAAACAAAUUACAAGGUCUUUAAUACACUCCUUUAUUAUAUAAGGCUAGUGAAUUCAAUAGAGUAUCAAUGUGUGAAACAACCAAACAAAUUUAAGUUACUUUGAAAACAACAUAUGAAGGAACAAACUAAGUUAAGGAAUCCAAAAUAAGACUUCUCACACAUGAUUAUGAGCUACUUUGGAUGAAAAAAAGUGAAACUAUAAACCAAAUGUAUGAGAGAUUCACAAACAUAGUUGGAGGAUUGAAGGCCUUAGGAAAAGAUUUCCCAAUUGCCUAAUUAAUAAAAAAGAUACUCUAUAGAUUUCCUAAAUGCCCAAUUAGUUAAAAAGAUACUCUAUAGUCAUUCCAAGUCAUGGAGACAAAAAGUAACAACCAUAGAGGAGGCAAGAAACUUAAAUGAUUUUAAGUUAAAAAAGCUUAUAAGAUCCCUACUUACCUAUGAGAUGACUUUAAAACAUGAAAGUGCUUUGGAUGAUGGAAAGAAUGAGGACAUUAAGAAGAAAGGGAUAACUUUAAAAUCCAAAUUUGAAGAAAAAGAAAGGAGUGUAAGAUAUGAGAGUGAAAAAGAUAAAGGUGUAGCCAUGCUAGCCAAAAGGUCUAGUAAAUUUAUGUUAAAUAACUAUAGAGGUAGAAGAUCCAUUGGAAUAUAUAUGUCAAAGGGAGAACAUAGUAAAGAUCAUUUAAUAUGCUAUGAGUGUAGAAAAAUAGGACACACUAAAUAUGAAUGCUCAAACAAGAAUAGUACCUCAAAGAAUUUCAUGAAAAAAGCCAUGGUUGCCACUUAGAGUGGCAGUAACGGCUCUUAAGAUUGAGAAGAUGAAGUUGCCAACCUUUGCUUCAUGGCAAUUGAAGACACCAAGGUAUGCUCCACCUUUCAUGACUCUAGUUCAAGCACUUUCGACCAAGACUCAUAUCCAUUUGAUGACCUACAAGAUGCAUAUUAUGACUUCGUAUUCGAAUUUGUAGAAAAGACAUUGAAAUAAAAGAACAUCAUAUCCAAGUUUAAGGUAGAAAAUGACUUAAAAAUUGUGACAAGUGAUCUAAAAUAGAAAAAUGAGAACUUUCAUGUUACACUUUGAAAAUUCAACAAGAGUUAACAAAAAUUAAAUAACACGCUAGAAACACAAAAAGCAUUCUUUUACAAAGAAAGAAUAUGCUAUGAUGGUACUCAAAAGGAAACUUGGUUUAAAAAUUUCUUUGUUAAAGGAAAUGAAAAAUAUGACUCAUUCACUAUAUGUAUUUGUUUUCAUAAAGUAGGACAUUCUAAUCAUUCUUGCCUUGUGAAAACUACCACUUAUAGAGGUAAGAUAUCAAAAGUGUAUGGGUUGCCAAAGAGACCAAACCUCUAAAAGUAACCAAAGACAUUAACUCAUAUAGACCUAAGAAAAUUUGGCUAUCAAAGUCAAAUGAUUGAAUUUUUAUCUUUGUAGGAGGAUCACACUUCCAUAAAGUCAAAAGCCCAAGAAAGAAGAAAAUGGCCUCUUGAUAGUGGAUGCUCUAUACACAUGAUCAGAGCCAAGAGUCUUUCAAGGAAUUAACGCCAAAGAAAGGAGGAAAUAUAACUUUUGGUGACAACUUAAAAGGUCACAUUGAAGAUAUUAGUACCAUUGGUAAAAAUGUCUCUUUUUAAAUUGAAAAUGCCUUAUUUAUAAAUAUUCUGAAGCAUAAAUUGUUGAGUGUUAGUUAGCUUUGUGGCAAGGGUUUUAGUCAUAUUUGAAUGAUUAACUUGUCAAGUUGUUGAUAUUAAAACAAAUGAAACUUUCUUUGUUGGUGAUAGACAAGGUAAUACAUAUGUUAUUUUCUUGGAUGAUUUAUCUUUUAACAAUAUAUGUUUCAUGGCUAAAAGGAAUGAAGAUAGUUGGUUAUCGCAUAGGAAUUUAGGAUAUGCUAGCAUGAAUACCAUUUCAAAACUAUUAUCUCUAAACCUUGUAAAAGAACUCUCUAAAUUAAACUUUGAAAAUGACCAACUUCUUGAUGCUCGUGCUAAAGGCAAACAUAAGAGGAGUUCAUUUAAAUCUAAAAAGGAUGUAACUACCAUUAGAGCCUUAUAAUUACUUGACAUAAAUCUUUUUGGACCAACUAAGACCACUAGCUUAGAUGAAAAGAAUUAUAGUUUACUAGUGUAACACCUUAAUUUUUGAUGUAAAAAUCAAGUUAAAUGAUAAUGAUCCAUUAAGUAUAUUGCAUCUCAAUGACAUUGAUGAUAUGUUAUGUAUGCUGAGUAUUUAACAAUGUACACGUGGACACUUAGGCAAAAAUUUUGUGGAAAUGUAUGAUGAAUCUUAUGAUUUGGGGUUUUAAUUUGCAUGUGAUAUGAUAAUUGAGGAUAUGUAUUUGUGUGUGUUGAAUUUAAGAAUGAUUGAGGUUGUGGAAGAAGUUUAGGAAGAGUUUAGGCAUGGUAGAAAGCCAUUUUUAUGAAUCUGGACUUGAAACAUCAAUAAUGCUGGUCUAGGAUCAAAUAUGGGAUCUUUAUAGUCAAUCCUAGGAAGGAAAAAUGGGAGAAAUGCAAGCACACUAGUCCAAGAUUGGCUAUAGAGCUUCCGUAGUCGAUCUAGUGAAGAAAAGUCGAGUGGAACUGGACAUUCUGGUGGUAAAAUCGACUAUAGGUCCAUUAUAGUCGAUCUUGGGAAGGGAAAUGAGAGAUAUCUAUCAGUUAGAUUCGACUACAAACUUUCCGUAGUUGACCUUAGGCUACCAAAUCAGCUUAAAUAAGGGCUUAAAAGCCCUAAAACUGAACCUUUCUCAUUUUAUCUCUUUUUCUUUCAUUCUUUCACCAUUUUCUCUCAAAUUUUACCCCCUUCAAAGCCAUUCAAAUUCAUAACUCUAUUAUAUAGAGUUAUUUUGACACAUUUUGAGGACUUUAGUAACUAGACUUUUGAGUUUUAGGAUUGAAUUUUGACAUUUUAGGUGUUUUUCUAAUGUAAGUUAGAUUACAUGUUGAAUUGUUAAAUUAAGUGGUGCUAGUUUAAUUUUACCUUAUUUUGUUUUUAAUUUGCUUUAAGAAAAGUUAAUGUCAAUUUCUCUCAUGGUUUUGUGCAAGAUAUGUGAUGGGCAAAGUGAAAUUAAGUUAUGAUAGCCUAAGUAUGGUGAAGGUGUCACUCAUAUAUGUUGUAGUAAUUUAAAGAUAACUUGAGCUGUAAAAGUCUAAUUAAUGUGAUCUUUAGUUCAUUGGAAAGAUGGGAUAAUGGGUUACAAUUUUCACUUUUACCACUUCACCUAGUUCAGACUAGAUUAAGGUGAAAGUCACGUCCAAAGAUGAUAAAAAAAAAAAGUUAUGAACACAAGGGAGCAUGGUGACUGAGGUCGCAGCAUUGAGUUACUCAUGGUCGCAGCACUAAAGGAACAAACUCCAUAGCACUGGAAGAUUGUGGCCAUAGUGUUGGGAUGGAAGGGUGCACCAAACUAAUGUCUAACAGUAGACUAUCAAGGCGUUACCAAAGCUUGUCACGACUCCAAGAAAUCAAGGCCGUGGUGCCACCCUAGUUUCCAAAAUUAAAAAUUUUGACGAGAAAUUGAAAAGUAAGGCACCUUGCACAUAUUUAAAAGCCCUUUUUGAGAGCAUUUAGAGGAGAGACAAUAACAGCUUUUCUUGAGAAAGAGAGAUAAGAAUCAAGCAAGAAUUCGAGAGUAAUUGAGAGAGUUUCGAGAUUAACCAGGCUUUGACAUUAGUUUAUUUCUCUUCUUUUGUGUUAUUUUUGUUUUUUUAUUCUGAAUUCAUGGCUAAAUUUCUUUGGAUAGUGUUUUAUUUAGAUUUUAUGAACUAAUUUGCUUAUUUAGGAUUAUGUUGGAUUUCAAUGUGUAGUUUGAAUACUUGUUCUUCUAUUAUUUAUCAUUAAUGGUAUCGUUUUACUUGUUCAAAUCUUUUUUAAUGCCUUUAAUUGCCUGGUUAGUACUUGAUUGAUUUGUGAAUUUAAUUAAAACUUGACAAAGAGAUUUUAGGUUGGACUAAGAUUUGAAAAGUGUAUGUUCACGUCACUUAGGUGAUUUGAUUAGUGAUUCAAGUAGACAUACACCAAUUGCCAUACAUAACCCAAUUAGGACACUUGCUUAAUGAACUUAAUUUGAUUGACUCCUAUAGACAUAUAGUGAACUAAUUAAGUUAGGUAUUUGUACAAGCAUUUCGACGAAGACUUGUCUAUAACUUUGGAUUCUAGGUUAGUAAAACCACCCAGGAAAGAUAAAUAAUAAGAAAAGCUAUGUGAAACCUUAACCUCCAUAGAUGCGUAGCUAGAGGUAGACUGAUGAGUACAACAAACUCACAUAUUUAAUGGGAGAUUAAAUACCUAAUUAGUCUAAGUUGGACUAGAUUUAUGAUAGAAUUUUGGUAUUUUUAUAUAUUUUAUUAGUUUAGUUUAAUUUAUGUUUAAAUGUUUAUUUUAAGUCAAUGAUGUUUGUUUUACGUUAUUUAUAAUUAUUUUUUGUUUUUAUAGGAGUAGGAUCAAAAUAAUUUCAAUUGGUGAAGAAAGGUGCAUAAUGGACUGUUGCUCUAUUUGCAUAUAUUUUGGUUUUUCAAGAAUAUCUCUCACUAAAGGAGUCCAAAUGACAUGAUUUUUAGACCAUUAGAAAGUUAAGAGGUAGAGCUACAACUUUUAUGUUUACUACUUUACCCAGUUCUGAUCAAAAAGUGGUCAAAAUCUUUGUCAAAAUGAAAGUACUGCACUAGAAGAAUAAAAAAGGGCAUUUUUGUAAAUUAAGUGAAACUUUGAUUAACUUUAGAGAUAAAU
Molecule: long non-coding RNA, 10365 nt
Filed under: Theobroma cacao (cacao)
Lineage: Eukaryota; Viridiplantae; Streptophyta; Magnoliopsida; Malvales; Malvaceae
Description: long non-coding RNA (TCAC_LNC001705)
Source: RNAcentral